This 917-nucleotide long non-coding RNA is filed under the name Ovis aries (sheep). RNAcentral's name for it is "lncRNA (ENSOARG00000025403.1)". The record is from RNAcentral. Lineage: Eukaryota; Metazoa; Chordata; Mammalia; Artiodactyla; Bovidae.
AUGGGGCGCAAUUGGAUAGCUGCACUCACCCGGGUGAGACAUGGGGAUGACCUCAUUGCGGGUCCCCGGGAAGUUAAAGAUGACGGCUCCAGACGCCCCUCUCUCGUAAGCCAGAUGGAUUUUGUCUGCGAAGGUGCAACCCCCACCGCGCUGGAUGAGGGCCAACCAAGACACUUGCACGCUGCUGCCCCAGUCCCCCGGGACCGUGGGCACCGUGAAAUUCGUGUGCGGGUUACAGGCAUUGAGCGCCCCCGGCCCGUCGGGCGGUACCAGGACCCCAGCCACGGGCUCGAGCGGCGAAUCCUGGCCGUACACGCCCUCCUCGCUCAGCUCCCACACGGUGCGGUUCACUCCGGUGUGCGGAACCCGCCAGGACACGUUGAGGUACGCGGUCCACACGGCUUCGGCUCCCCUGGAGCCGGGGGUUUGCGGACUCAGAACCAGCAGGAAGCACCAGGCCAGCAAUCGGGAAAAGCCACAACCACCGCGGCAGAAGACCCCGGCCCCCGGCAGCGGCCCCAUGGUAUGCGCGCUCUGAGGUUCCCUAGGGCCCCUCGCACGCGCCUUCCCGACUCUCGGCGGGACCCCGGCCCGGGCCAGGUGCGCGCCAGGUAGGGAGAGGACGGGGAGAGACUGGCGCGCGCGGCGGGCUGGGUCAGAGCCGGCGGGCACGGAGCGCGCGCCGCCGGGGCCGCGCGGGGCUCGGGGGUUGUGGCGCGAAGCCCCGCCCCGCCGACCGGGGGUAGAGGUGGCUGGGAGGGAGGAAAGGACACUGCGGGACCGCCUCUUAAAAGGGUAGCAGGAAGGGAAGGCUUUAGACUAAGAUCGGAAGCUGUGUGGUCAGGUGUGUCGAGUCGUAGUAUGAAAAACGGACAGGUGAGGAACUGUGGAAUCAGCGCGAACAGAAACGCUCGCUG